GAGCACGGCUAACUGCUGCAUUUAAUAAUGUAGAGGAAAAUCCGCUCUAGCACUUGCUGAGAUGCAAGUAGUGAUCAUGCUAGACCCAAUAAGUCUAGGCAACUUGAAAAAGUUGACAACUAGUGCAACAGAGACGAGCUUAUUAAGUUAAGAUGCAACGAUGUAAACUUCAUGAGUUAGAAACCCAAAUUUUGGUAGGGGAAUUAGGCCAAUGGAAUUCAACAAAGGUCUGAAAACUAUAUUCACUAUAGUUUAGAUAAAUAGUUAGCACUACAUUUUUAGAUGUUUAAUCAUCAUGAAAGUAGUACAAAAAGCGGUUUAUAGUG
This 326-nucleotide RNase P RNA is filed under the name Mycoplasma phocoeninasale. Its description in RNAcentral is "Mycoplasma sp. C264-NAS RNase P RNA component class B". It matches the Rfam family "Bacterial RNase P class B". From Rfam's summary of the family: Ribonuclease P (RNase P) is a ubiquitous endoribonuclease, found in archaea, bacteria and eukarya as well as chloroplasts and mitochondria. Its best characterised activity is the generation of mature 5'-ends of tRNAs by cleaving the 5'-leader elements of precursor-tRNAs. Cellular RNase Ps are ribonucleoproteins. Lineage: Bacteria; Bacillati; Mycoplasmatota; Mollicutes; Mycoplasmatales; Mycoplasmataceae. The record is from RNAcentral.